GUUGGCCUCGGAUCAGGUGGGGAUACCCGCUGAACUUAAGCAUAUCAAUAAGCGGAGGAAAAGAAACCAACAGGGAUUGCCUCAGUAACGGCGAGUGAAGCGGCAACAGCUCAAAUUUGAAAUCUGGCGCAAGCCCGAGUUGUAAUUUGUAGAGGAUGUUUCGGGUGAAGCCACGGUCCAAGUCCCUUGGAACAGGACGUCAUAGAGGGUGAGAACCCCGUACCUGGCCGUCGGUGCCCCCCGCUGUGAAACUCCUUCGACGAGUCGAGUUGUUUGGGAAUGCAGCUCUAAAUUGGUGGUAAAUUCCAUCUAAAGCUAAAUACCGGCCAGAGACCGAUAGCGCACAAGUAGAGUGAUCGAAAGAUGAAAAGCACUUUGAAAAGAGAGUUAAAAAGUACGUGAAAUUGUUGAAAGGGAAGCGCUUGCGGCCAGACUUGCCCGCGGUUGCUCAGCCCGCCUUUUGGCGGGUGCACUCUUCCGCGGUCAGGCCAGCAUCGGUUUGGGCGGUCGGAUAAAGGCGUAGGGAACGUGACCUCCCCUCGGGGAGGUGUUAUAGCCCUGCGCGCAAUGCGACCAGCCCGGACCGAGGUUCGCGCUUUGCUAGGAUGCUGGCGUAAUGGCCGUAAGCGGCCCGUCUUGAAACACGGACCAAGGAGUCUAACAUCUAUGCGAGUGUUUGGGUGUCAAACCCGUGCGCGUAAUGAAAGUGAACGGAGGUGGGAACCGAAAGGUGCACCAUCGACCGAUCCUGAUGUCUUCGGAAGGAUUUGAGUAAGAGCAUAGCUGUUGGGACCCGAAAGAUGGUGAACUAUGCGUGAAUAGGGUGAAGCCAGAGGAAACUCUGGUGGAGGCUCGCAGCGGUUCUGACGUGCAAAUCGAUCGUCAAAUUUGCGUAUAGGGGCGAAAGACUAAUCGAACCAUUU
RNAcentral lists this ribosomal RNA (923 nucleotides) under Venturia atriseda. Its description in RNAcentral is "eukaryotic LSU rRNA". It matches the Rfam family "Eukaryotic large subunit ribosomal RNA", at positions 1 to 945 of the family's 3401-position model. The record is from RNAcentral. Lineage: Eukaryota; Fungi; Ascomycota; Dothideomycetes; Venturiales; Venturiaceae.